GGUGAACGCUGACAGAAUGCUUAACACAUGCAAGUCUUUGGCGAAUCUGUGCUUGCACAGGCUAGCCAAGGCGGACGGGUGAGUAACGCGUAAAGAACUUGCCCUGCAGACAGGGAUAACAGACGGAAACGACUGAUAACACCUGAUACAGUUGCCGGCACGCAUGUGCCUGGCAAUGAAAAGAGAUGCUGCAGGAGAGCUUUGCGUCCUAUUAGCUUGUUGGUGAGGUGACGGCUCACCAAGGCGAUGAUAGGUAGCCGGCCUGAGAGGGUGAACGGCCACAAGGGGACUGAGAUACGGCCCUUACUCCUACGGGAGGCAGCAGUGGGGAAUAUUGGACAAUGGGGGCAACCCUGAUCCAGCAAUUCUGUGUGCACGAAGAAGGUUUUCGGAUUGUAAAGUGCUUUCAGCAGGGAAGAAGAAAGUGACGGUACCUGCAGAAGAAGCGACGGCUAAAUACGUG
Molecule: ribosomal RNA, 463 nt
Filed under: uncultured bacterium
Lineage: Bacteria
Description: partial 16S ribosomal RNA
Rfam family: Bacterial small subunit ribosomal RNA
Source: RNAcentral